RNAcentral lists this unclassified non-coding RNA (984 nucleotides) under Hevea brasiliensis (rubber tree). Lineage: Eukaryota; Viridiplantae; Streptophyta; Magnoliopsida; Malpighiales; Euphorbiaceae. The record is from RNAcentral.
GUUCUGAUGUGACAUUUGACCUGUUAAAAUGUAGUUAUUGGAUGGCAUAAUCCUCUUGUCAACUUGCCAUCCACUGCACAAGUACGCACAUAUGCGUUGGUGGUUGUUUAUUAAGCGAUGACUAUAGAAAUGUGUGAAAGAUACUCCAGAUGCUUUAUUUAACGUUGCAUAUCUUCUUGGCGGUGACAAAUAUUAGAAUUAUUUCUUUCAAUAUCUACUUGGAUUGAGAUGCAUAUUUUGCUUGGUGAACCAUGGAAACCUUGCUAUUGAUUUUUAGAUAUUUGCACUGCAUGGCCAUUUCCUUGGAUGUAAUUUAGGAUCUUAUGAGAGGAGACCCAUGGAGGUGCUUCUUUGUUUUACUGACAGCCUCUAAUGUGGAGAGGAGAGCUAGCAUUUUAUAUGAAGACUGAAAUUCCUCAAGUCAACUUUUUCUGGCAAUACAUAAUCAAGCUACUUGCAAUUUUUAGUGUUUUAACUUUAUUUUACUGGAGAACUGUGUUAAUAUACUUUCAGCUAAUGCUGUAUUAAUUUUCUAGGUCUAUCAUUGGUUAUGUAGUCAUCCUUGGCAUGCACUGGACAAUUGAUUGUCCUUGUGUGAAUUUAGCCUGAAUUAUGUGCACAAUUAAUUUUGUUUAGUACUAUCCUUUUUCCUUGAAGUUCACAUAGCUCGAACAGAAUUGUAAAUUGUACAACAAAAAUAGUUGGUGACAGUCUGAUAGAAUGAUGAGCAACUUAUGUGCAGCUAUUAUUCAUUUUCUUUUGUUUUUCUAGAAGGCCUCAUAAGUUUAUAGAUCCUUGAUCUCAUGGUUUGUGAUGUAUAGGGAAUCUUCAAUCAUUUAUUGAUUGCCUUUAUUGCUAUCUUCUUCUACCUUUGAUGAUGUGUCCUGGAUUUCUUGUAUGUGAGGGAACCUCUGAUUCUUGUUUGAUUCCAGGAAUUUGACUGAGCUUGACAUACAGGAGAAUGGCAUUGACGAUAAGAGUGGC